Triticum aestivum (bread wheat) is the source of this 126-nucleotide non-coding RNA. NCBI's taxonomy places the organism in Eukaryota, Viridiplantae, Streptophyta, Magnoliopsida, Poales, Poaceae. The record is from Rfam.
AUAUUACUCCCUCCGUCCGGAAAAACUUGUCUCAACCUUGUCUCUCAAAUGGAUGUAUCUAGCACUAACUUGGUGCUAGAUACAUCCAUUCGAGGGACAAGCUUUUUCGGACGGAGGGAGUACUCA